Molecule: ribosomal RNA, 245 nt
Filed under: uncultured bacterium
Lineage: Bacteria
Description: partial small subunit ribosomal RNA
Rfam family: Bacterial small subunit ribosomal RNA
Source: RNAcentral
AGAAUCAACGCUGGCGGCGUGCCUAACACAUGCAAGUCGCACGAGAAAGGGGAGCAAUCCCUGAGUAAAGUGGCGCACGGGUGAGUAACACGUGAAUCAUCUACCUCCGAGUGGGGAAUAACCUAGAGAAAUCUGGGCUAAUACCGCAUAACACUUACGAGUCAAAGCAGCAAUGCGCUUGGAGAGGAGUUCGCGGCCGAUUAGUUAGUUGGCGGGGUAAUGACCCACCAAGACGAUGAUCGGUA